GAUGAACGCUGGCGGCGUGCCUAAUACAUGCAAGUCGAGCGAACGGACGAGAAGCUUGCUUCUCUGAUGUUAGCGGCGGACGGGUGAGUAACACGUGGAUAACCUACCUAUAAGACUGGGAUAACUUCGGGAAACCGGAGCUAAUACCGGAUAAUAUUUUGAACCGCAUGGUUCAAAAGUGAAAGACGGUCUUGCUGUCACUUAUAGAUGGAUCCGCGCUGCAUUAGCUAGUUGGUAAGGUAACGGCUUACCAAGGCAACGAUGCAUAGCCGACCUGAGAGGGUGAUCGGCCACACUGGAACUGAGACACGGUCCAGACUCCUACGGGAGGCAGCAGUAGGGAAUCUUCCGCAAUGGGCGAAAGCCUGACGGAGCAACGCCGCGUGAGUGAUGAAGGUCUUCGGAUCGUAAAACUCUGUUAUUAGGGAAGAACAUAUGUGUAAGUAACUGUGCACAUCUUGACUGUACCUAAUCAGAAAGCCACGACUAACUACGUG
Molecule: ribosomal RNA, 497 nt
Filed under: uncultured bacterium
Lineage: Bacteria
Description: partial 16S ribosomal RNA
Rfam family: Bacterial small subunit ribosomal RNA
Source: RNAcentral